CCAUACCUCGUUGUACAUGCACAUUUGGCUAACACUGGUAACAUUUUUUUUUUCAAUAGCAACCUCUGCCGCUGCUGAUUCAUCAAGUCGUGAAAAGAGAAGACGGGAAUGGAAGGUACGUGCAUAUGGAUCAUGAUCUACGACGACUCCGCACUCUGAUAACGACUUGACGACGAUGCAAUUGGAGCAUUAGACCUGUCUCCCUCCAUUACCUAGCUAGGAUGGGCUCUCAGAUUGGCGACGAGCAUUUGC
This 252-nucleotide long non-coding RNA is filed under the name Setaria italica (foxtail millet). Its description in RNAcentral is "long non-coding RNA (SITA_LNC001476)". Lineage: Eukaryota; Viridiplantae; Streptophyta; Magnoliopsida; Poales; Poaceae. The record is from RNAcentral.